Gasterosteus aculeatus aculeatus (three-spined stickleback) is the source of this 2947-nucleotide long non-coding RNA. NCBI's taxonomy places the organism in Eukaryota, Metazoa, Chordata, Actinopteri, Perciformes, Gasterosteidae. The record is from Ensembl.
AUAUAUAUGUAUAUAUAUAUAUAUAAUCUAUAUCUCCUGAAUUAGUUCAUGGAGACUAAAUCCUCUCUGGCAUGUUGCUAUAGUUCAAGUUCUAGCAUCAUUCUUUUGAAAUGUGUGUACAUUUAUGUAUAUUAUGUACACCCAUGGGUUCAUAUACACAUACAUAGGUGUAUAUUAGUUUCUAUAAAACGAUAAGUAUAAAUGUCAACAUAAUAUGAAUAUUUACAGCUAACAAUGCUGUAAAUGUGAAUCUUUUAAUUAUUCAUGUAAACAGCUUGUUAGGCGUACUAUUAUUUGUGGACUAAGUGAAUGUAACAUAGUCGUGUGACUCCAAACAUUGAUUCCUCUAAACGGGUUUAAACAAAACGAGAAAAAGUGUUUGUAAAUGUCUAUGAACUAAUAUUCUGUUUUCUGUGAAGUUCAUGGACCAACGGAAUGAAACUAACAGGAGAUAUAAAGUUAAGCUGUUCAUCACAUGACAUGUAAUCACCAGCACGUUGGUGCAGAUACGAGUAAAUGCUCUUUAUAUAUAUAAACACUUGGCUGCCUCUCGACGGGAGCUCAACUCCGUUUAAAACAAACUCAAAAGAUCUUUAAGAAGAAACAGAGCCAAUCUGUCGCCAACAUGACUAAUCCUGCUGGCAGAGGCUCUGCGCGGUUACCACGGUUACCACGGCAACGAGGGGGGUGUGCCAUCCACGACGCGGUACGAAGGGCUGCAGGAGGAUGCGUUUACCGUCGGCCCAUCCGUGUCAAUAAGAGGAAUACUGAGCUGGAGUCAUCGCAGCCGUAGGGUCACAGCAGCGGCACAUGUUUGUAGUCGUCUCUAAUCAACUAAUGACUUCAUUAAUCCGCUUAAGCUCCUCUUUUGUGGAACCAGCUUCCACUUUCUGUCCAGGGGGCAGAUUCGGUCAGCUCAUCUAAGAUAAAGCUUAAGACUUUCCUCUUUGAUAUGGCUUAUAGUUAGGGCUGGCUCAGGUUAGUCUGGACCAGCCCUUAGUUAAGCUGCUGUAGGCUUAGACUCACAGGUUUCCAUGCAUCAUGGUUCUAUCUGGAUCCUGUUCCUGCCUCCUGCCGUGGCCCUGCUGACACCUGCUGCUGCCAUCAUCAGUAUUAUUACUAUUUUAAAUAUGAAUCAUAUUACUAUUACUGUCCACAUAAACCACCAUUUCCUAAAGGCGUGUGCUUUUCCUCCCCACAGGCUUCUGUGGAUGGUGGUUCUAUGUGAUGGUGGUUCUAUGAGGUGGGGGUUCUAUCUGAUGGUGGUUCUAUGGGAUGGUGGUUCUAUCUGAUGGUGGUUCUAUGAGGUGGUCGUUCUAUCUGAUGGUGGUUCUAUGAGGUGGUCGUUCUAUGUGAUGGUGGUUCUAUGAGGUGGUGGUUCUAUGGGAUGGUGGUUCUAUCUGAUGGUGGUUCUAUGUGAUGGUGGUUCUCUCUGAUGGUGGUUCUAUGUGAUGGUGGUUCUAUGUGAUGGUGGUGGUCCCUGCAGUGGUCCUGCAGUACACCUGCUCACUACUCCCAUUAUUUGAAUCAUCUCUGUCAUAUGAAUUGAAUGUAUCGUUCAUCUUCCACAUUGUUCAUUCUGUCCUCAUGACAUCAUCGUAGUCUGUCCAUCAGGAGACGGAUCCUCCUCUGACGUUCUCACUGAGGGUUCUUCCCUUUUCUCCCCAUGGAAGGGUUUCAUUGUUUGGGGAGUUUUUCCUGUGAGGGUAUCUGGACAGAGGAUGUCACAUGUGUACAGACUAAUACCCACUGAGGCAAAUUUGUAAUUUGCAAUUUUAGCUCUACAAAAUAAAAUAAAUUGAAUUGAAUUCAUUAUUUUCUAAUUGAUUUGUGACUUGGUCAACGUUUCUCUUAUAUCAUAAUCAAUUAGAUAUUUUUAUAGCUCAACAAUCCAAAAUCCCACAUUUCCCUUAGAGGGAUUUUAGAAUCUGUUUCAGAACAUAGCGACAUGAUGGAGCCUCACGUCUCUCAUCCGAUCUCCUAUAAUAAUCUACAAUAAUACAGGAGAACUCUAUUGGACCGAGCGGAUGUGUUUUAGUGAUAAACCACACAGGUGACCUCAGCAGGUCGCAGGUCUGCCGUGCGUUCAUGGUCCUCUUGAUUGUUCACCCUACAGAUGACUUGUUAGGCCACAAUUAGGCCUGACCUCUGACCUCACCUGCCACCAGAGUGCCAUUCAGGUUCCAUUUAAAAUCAUUUAAAUGCCUUUUUAGUAAUACACCAAUCAUAUAAUAAUACAUACGUCGAGGUUCAAGGAGAAGAGGUUUACAUUACGUUUCCAUGAAAUAUGAGAUCAUUCUGUCAACACAGUUGACAGAAUGAUCCAUAAAGAAGAAAACCCGUCUGUCUUCCCGCAGCCUGACCCUGCUCCGGUGCGCUCUGUUAAUGGGCCCUGAACGCCUCACGGGGCCCUCUCUUUGUCCCCUCCAUCUCACCGCCUCCGUCUCUGCAGAGAAACACCGACGCUGAGAGCACGCAUUAGUCCACAGGAAGCGCCAGCUGGUCACUAAUGUAUGACCCGCCGACCUGUAAUGGAGGUCUGUUUGAUACGCGCACGGGGGCCGCUCUCCAAUCACAGCCCAUUAGACACGAGGGUGCCACACGAAAAUGUAGUACUGCAUCAGUACCUGCAGAAAGCUGUAUGUUGAGGGCUCUUAUUGUGAAAGGACAAAGUGGAUCCGGUCUGCCCGAGGUAGAAGAGAUAAAGAUAAUGUUUCUUUAUACGGACUGAGAGGGAACUUCUAGUUCGUUUUGGUGAAGCUUCAUCUUUAAAAUCUGCAUCCUCUGUAGUGACCAGCAGGGGGCGACUCCUCUGCUCCCAUAGACGUCUAUGAGGAAAUGACUCUACUUCUCUGUAGUGACCAGCAGGGGGCGACUCCUCUGCUCCCAUAGACGUCUAUGAGGAAAUGACUCUACUUCUCUGUAGUGACCAGCAGGGGGCGACUCC